GUCGUGCGGCCCUGCGGGGAGGCAGCUUUUGUUUCCCGAGGGAGAUGGUUCUGGGCGCCGCGGCCUCCGCGGCCCACCUCUGCGGGAGCCGAGCGGCGGCUGCCGAGCCCCAGGACCCCCUAACACGGAAUUUUCCUCAGAAGUGUGUGGGCAGCGGCCUUGGCCGCCUCCCUGCCCGGGCCAAAGGCGGCGUCGCGCCUCGCGCGAAAUUUCCCGUCGUUUCCAGCCCCUGGAGGGUUUUGGCGUGGCCGCCGCCGCGUGGGUGGGCCCAGGACGCCGGGAGAAGGCGGCGGUGGAGGCUCUGCUGCCCUGCAGGCUCGAGCCCACCAGGACGCCCGCGGGCCUAGGCCGGGGAGGGACAGUGAGGGACAGAGUGGGGCAUCGAGGGACAGUGUGGAACAGCAUGGGACCGAGUGGGACGGCGCGAGACAGUGAGGGACAGUAAGGCCAUGUUGGUGAGGGCCUUUCAUGGGAGAGUUGAGAGUGGGUCUGCCCGGCCACCUCUCCUCUGACCACAUGUUUGGCAAUCAAGGCCAGGCCCUGGUGGCAGUUGACCCGGCCAGGGCCACCUACCGGCUUCCAGAAGGAGCGCUCCCACCCCUACCCUGGCGUCCCCUUGAGUUCCCAAUCUCAUGUUUACCUAGACCCACUCCGACCUCAACAUCUCUUGGCGUUGGGGCAGCCACUGAUGCCCAAGGACAGCACGCCAGCAAGCCGCGGGAGGAGGUUUCUCCGGGCGCCAGUGAUGCAACUUAGGCUUAUAGUUUAACCGAAGAAGCUGUCCUUGGAGUGAGAACAGGGGAGGUUCUGGCUCGGAAACCUUAGAAUCAGACACUGCCUUCCCAAAGAUGUUGGUUCUGUCUCUCCUCUCCCAGUAAUACGAGUCAUGUAUGUGUUCUUCUAUUCUGGAUGAAAGAAGAAUGAGAAAAGUGAUGUGGUGACGACAAGCCUACACUCUGCGUGUUUCCACUGAGGAGCCUAUACAACCUUGAGCCAAAGAAGGGGAUCUGGCACAGUGCAGUUUCAGACACCAGCAGUUCUUGGAGAGAGACGCUGCUGGCAGGGAGCAUCUUCCCAGCAUCUCUGAAGGGAAGGUAGCAAGUGACCAGAAGUCUGUGAGCAUUUACUUGUGAGCCCAUACUCAUAAACAUCCACAGGCAUGUUUCCUUAAAAAAAAUAGACUUAGUUUGUCCAUAAACUUAAAGUCCCUACAGAACUUUUAAAUCUGAACAGCUACACAUUUUCUCUGGAAUGCAAAGACAAUGGGGUAUCCUCAGUGACUGGGUCCAGUAGCAUUGUAAGAACUGAGUGAACACCAACUCUUCUUGGAAUUUCUAACUUUAUUCAUUUUUUCAUUCAUCCAUCAAUAAGUAUCUAUUGAACUCCUACUAUGUACCAGUCCAUACUAGGUACCCAAUAGUGAGCAAGAGAGAUACAAACACUCCCCUCAGAGAACUGUCAGUGUGGGGGUUAUGGACAAGCACACAGGAUGUUGUGAUGAAAUGCUGUGAUGGGGGCCAGCAGGGUGCUAUGGAAAUAAUAAGAGAGGCACCAGCCCAGAUGAAGGGAGGUCUACGCUGAGAACUGAAGGAUGCUUCAGCAGUGAGAUAAAGGGGGAAGAAUGUUCUUGGCAGGGCAAACAGCAAAUAUUCAGAAUGUGACGUUUGAGGAGGUCAAGUUCACUGUCAAUGACAAGAAGGUAAGAGAUGAGGUUGGAGAGGUUAAGGAGGGGCUGGGUUUUACUUGACUGUACAACCCAUGUUAAGAAGUUCAGACUGUUCUAAAAUUGGGGAGCCGCUGCAGAGGUUUAAAGUGGACAGUGAAAUGUUUAAAUUUGCAUGUUAGAAAGGUUACUCUUGUUGCCAUAGGCACUGUGUGACCAAAAGAGUUAUAAUUUGGGGCUGGGAGUGCUAGGUUAUCUUCUGAGUUCUGACUUAUCGUUUCUGGCUAGGGCGUCAGUUCUUCUAACUCUGGGACAUGAAGACCUGUACCUAUCCUUGGCAGUAAUUAUGGCUCAGACAGGAGACAAGAAGGCAGGCAGAGAGAGAGAGACAAAUGCAGAGUUUUGGUCAGCUCCUUGGUCUUCACCCACUCAGGGAUAAAUUCUACCACAUAAAGGAAAUGCUGAAUCAAAGGGACUGAACAUCUUUAAAAACUUUUUCAAUUGCCAAAGUGCAACCAGAUUAUUGGACCACUUGGGACAUCCACCAGCAGUACAGUGCCCAUUUGAUGACACACUCUCCAACUUCAGAUUUUUUGGCUUCCCUUGACUGUGACAGUUUCUCAGACUUCCUGUUUGUGAUGAUCUUCACAGUUUUGAGGUGCCUGGUCUGGUAUUUUGUCGAAUGUCCCUCAUUGGGAUUUAUCUAAUAUUUUUCUCAUGAUGUUAUUGGUUUUGGGGAGGAAGACCAUAGAGGUAAAGUGUCAUUUUCAUCACAUCAUAUCAAGGAUACAUGCUGUUACCAUGAUUUGUCACUGUUGAUGUUGACCCUGACCUGAGGAAUACAGAGCCUUUUUUUUUUUUUUGAGGAAGAUUAGCCCUGAGCUAACUGCUGCCAAUCGUCCUCUUUUCGCUGAGAAAGGCUGGCCCUGAGCUCACAUCCGUGUCCAUCUUCCUCUACUUUAUAUGUGGGACGCCUACCACAGCAUGGGUGCCAAGCGGUGCCAUGUCCGCACCUGGGAUCCCAACCGGCGAACCCCGGGCCCCCAAAGCGGAACUUGCACACUUAACCACUGAACCACUGGGCCGGCCCCUACAGUGCCUUUUAAAGCCCAUACAAACAAAAUCAGUGAUGUUGAGGUCAGGUCAACUAUUCUGAACAAAAUUUGGAGGUUCAAGUAAUCUUUGAAUCCUCGUGAAAACUGUGCAGUAGCUGGAAGAACUGUUGUGUUCGUUGCAGUUCAUGGACCUGGAUGAUAUGCUGAUGGGAAUUCCCUAAGUGUAAGGGUAAUUUUAUUCACUGUGUUUUUGGUGAUGUCACGAGUUAGGAAUUAAAGUUAGAACAGAAAGUCUUAAGAGCAGUUCUUUAAAAUAUUUAUGUAGCAUAUUGUUUGAACUACAGACAUUUUUGCUUGCAUCGCCAUGGGGGUAAGAACAUCUGUGUGUGUCUGUAUCCCAGAUGUAGCCUUUGAUUUUCUCGAAUUGUUCUGCAGAGGAACACAUCUUAUCUAGAAACGAUUCAGCUGUCUUGUUUCCAUUAUUCUUGUUUCCAUUCAGUGGGUAAACCUUUUGAAUGCCUGAGCAGUUAAAUUCCCCACAUCCUACAUUUAUCAUUUCCAGGAGCCAAUAAGAAAGGUUAGUAAAGUGAAUCUGAAUGAUUUAUUUGUACAGAACGGAUGAAUUUCCUCUUAGUCGUACAUCCGACACCCACAUGAUACCUCAUCUCUGAUGCUGGGAAGGAAGAUUUUCAGGAGAAAUUUGAUGCCCAAUUAGUGUGUUUUAAUUUAGUCAGUGGAAUUUCCAUCUGGCUCUAAUGUGUAUUCUGGAGGGUUAGACUAGAACAGAGUUGAACAAUUUAUUGGUUUGUGAGGUGAGGUCAGUAGGUACAAAGAACAUUUCACACAAGCAGGAUUUUAGACAUGCUGAGGUUUUCACCUCUUUUUGUUAGUUACAGGAUAGUUGGGGACAGAGAAAGCACAUGCUACUUAUUUUGUGAUUAAGCACUUAAUAUAAAUAGUUUAAAAUAAGAAACAACUUCACAAAAAUAGAUGAUAGAUGUCUUCUCUUCUAAAGAAAUUGGAAAUUUAC
This 3748-nucleotide long non-coding RNA is filed under the name Equus asinus (donkey). RNAcentral's name for it is "lncRNA (ENSEASG00005033435.1)". The record is from RNAcentral. Lineage: Eukaryota; Metazoa; Chordata; Mammalia; Perissodactyla; Equidae.